CUGAAAACUUCUAGUCAUCCUGACGAACCAAUUAUUUGGUUCAGGGGAGAUUGGACAUUGGACCCACAAUGGGACUUUUGCCACACCUAUCAAGAAAGUGAUGAUCUUUGCAGAAUUCAGUUGCAUAUCUUGGAUCUGAGUUCUACGCAGCAUUGGACAAGUUGAUUAAAAGCCAUCUGAUGUUUACACCGUGGUAUUUCAGGGUCUUCCAGUCAUCUUGGAGGAUGACCCAGAGGAAUUUUACAGGAUGUGCUUUGAUGUUGAUGUAGAUGCAGACUUCAGUGAAGUAGAUGUAGGCCUGCUCACAGUUUUACCAG
This is a long non-coding RNA of Sinocyclocheilus anshuiensis, 317 nucleotides long. RefSeq lists it as uncharacterized. Lineage: Eukaryota; Metazoa; Chordata; Actinopteri; Cypriniformes; Cyprinidae. The transcript has 5 exons. The record is from RefSeq and is a predicted model, not a curated record.